This 496-nucleotide ribosomal RNA is filed under the name uncultured bacterium. Its description in RNAcentral is "partial 16S ribosomal RNA". It matches the Rfam family "Bacterial small subunit ribosomal RNA", at positions 30 to 523 of the family's 1533-position model. The record is from RNAcentral.
AUUGAACGCUGGCGGAAUGCUUUACACAUGCAAGUCGAACGGUAGAGGGGGCAACCCCUCGAGAGUGGCGAACGGGUGAGUAAUAUAUCGGAACGUGCCCAGUCGUGGGGGAUAACGUAGCGAAAGUUACGCUAAUACCGCAUACGAUCUAAGGAUGAAAGCGGGGGAUCGCAAGACCUCGCGCGAUUGGAGCGGCCGAUAUCAGAUUAGGUAGUUGGUGGGGUAAAGGCCUACCAAGCCGACGCUCCAUAGCUGGCCUGAGAGGAUGAUCAGCCACACUGGGACUGAGACACGGCCCAGACUCCUACGGGAGGCAGCAGUGGGGAAUUUUGGACAAUGGGCGAAAGCCUGAUCCAGCCAUGCCGCGUGUCUGAAGAAGGCCUUCGGGUUGUAAAGGACUUUUGUCAGGGAGGAAAUCCCUAGUGCUAAUAACACUGGGGGAUGACAGUACCUGAAGAAUAAGCACCGGCUAACUACGUGCCAGCCGCCGCGGUAA